AUACGUAGGUGACAAGCGUUAUCCGGAUUUACUGGGCGUAAAGGGCGUGUAGGCGGUCUUGCAAGUCAGAAGUGAAAUUCCUGAGCUCAACUCGGGCGCUGCUUCUGAAACUGCAGGACUUGAGUGCUGGAGGGGAUAGCGGAAUUCCUAGUGGAGCGGUAAAAUGCGCAGAUAUUAGGAAGAACACCGGUGGUGAAGGCGGCUUUCUGGACAAUACCUGGAGCUGAGGCGCCAAAGCGUGGGGAGAAAACAGGAUUAGAUACCCUGGUGUUCCACGCCGUAACCGAUGAAUACUAGGUGUAGGGGGUAUCGACUCCCUCUGUGCCGCAGUUAACACAAUAAGUAUUCCGCCUGGGGAGUACGGCCGCAAGGUUGAAACUCAAAAGAAUUGACGGGG
Molecule: ribosomal RNA, 397 nt
Filed under: uncultured bacterium
Lineage: Bacteria
Description: partial 16S ribosomal RNA
Rfam family: Bacterial small subunit ribosomal RNA
Source: RNAcentral